UGAAAGAUGCUAAGAAUGAUAGACUGUGGU
Molecule: non-coding RNA, 30 nt
Filed under: Mus musculus (house mouse)
Lineage: Eukaryota; Metazoa; Chordata; Mammalia; Rodentia; Muridae
Source: RNAcentral